This 393-nucleotide RNase P RNA is filed under the name Sphingorhabdus sp. Its description in RNAcentral is "RNase P RNA component class A". It matches the Rfam family "Bacterial RNase P class A". From Rfam's summary of the family: Ribonuclease P (RNase P) is a ubiquitous endoribonuclease, found in archaea, bacteria and eukarya as well as chloroplasts and mitochondria. Its best characterised activity is the generation of mature 5'-ends of tRNAs by cleaving the 5'-leader elements of precursor-tRNAs. Lineage: Bacteria; Pseudomonadati; Pseudomonadota; Alphaproteobacteria; Sphingomonadales; Sphingorhabdaceae. RNAcentral also lists the same sequence under 2 other names. The record is from RNAcentral.
CCAGAGGGUCGGGCGGCCGCUGCUGUUGCUUUAUGGCGGCAGGAGAGGAAAGUCCGGGCUCCAGCGAGGAACGGUGCCGGGUAACGCCCGGCGGGUCAGAGAGCGAUUUCUGAUUUAGGGAAAGUGCAACAGAAAGCAGACCGCCAUGGCUUCGGCCGGGUAAGGGCGAAAGGGUGCGGCAAGAGCGCACCGCGUGGGUGGCAACAUUCGCGGCACGGCAAACCCCACCGGGAGCAAAAUCGAAUAGGGGCGGCAUAUGGGUUUCCUCCACUCCGUCGCCCGGGUUGAUUGCUUGAGUGCCGCAGCAAUGCGUCGCCUAGAGGAAUGGCCGCACAUCUGCGCCGGUUCUGCCGGUGCGGAGGACAGAACCCGGCUUAUAGACCCUCUGGCAAA